ACGCUCGACACCUACGGGGGGCAGCAGUGGGGAAUAUUGCACAAUGGGGGAAACCCUGAUGCAGCGACGCCGCGUGAGCGAAGAAGUAUUUCGGUAUGUAAAGCUCUAUCAGCAGGGAAGAUGAUGACGGUACCUGACUAAGAAGCCCCGGCUAACUACGUGCCAGAAGCCGCGGUAAUCUGAGCGGGCUGGCAAGGC
This 198-nucleotide ribosomal RNA is filed under the name uncultured bacterium. Its description in RNAcentral is "partial 16S ribosomal RNA". It matches the Rfam family "Bacterial small subunit ribosomal RNA", at positions 328 to 539 of the family's 1533-position model. The record is from RNAcentral.